Molecule: unclassified non-coding RNA, 262 nt
Filed under: plant metagenome
Description: partial contains small subunit ribosomal RNA and internal transcribed spacer 1
Rfam family: Eukaryotic small subunit ribosomal RNA (bases 1-46)
Source: RNAcentral
AAGUCGUAACAAGGUUUCCGUAGGUGAACCUGCGGAAGGAUCAUUAUCGAGAGAGGGGCUUCGCGCUCCCGGGGGUUUCGGCCCCCAACUCUUCACCCAUUGUCAACUUACCCUUGUUGCUUUGGCCGGAUUCCGGGGUAUGUCUUGCCGUGGUUUGACUUCAUAAACCCGUGCGAGAUGUGCCCCGGCAGCCCAGCCCAGGUAAAGGCCCCAUUAAAAUCUGUUUAUCAGUGAUGUCCGAGUAAAAGACCAAUAAUAAAAA